This 536-nucleotide ribosomal RNA is filed under the name uncultured Gemmatimonadota bacterium. RNAcentral's name for it is "uncultured Gemmatimonadetes bacterium partial 16S ribosomal RNA". It matches the Rfam family "Bacterial small subunit ribosomal RNA", at positions 514 to 1048 of the family's 1533-position model. Lineage: Bacteria; Pseudomonadati; Gemmatimonadota. The record is from RNAcentral.
GCCGCGGGUAAUACGGAGGGGGCUAGCGUUGUUCGGAAUUACUGGGCGUAAAGGCACGUGAGCGGCUUUGUAAGUUAGAGGUGAAAGCCCGGGGCUCAACCCCGGGGCGGCGGUGCGAACGGGCCGGCUGGAGCGUACGAGAGGCAGGCGGAAUUCCGGGGGUAGCGGUGGAAUGCGUAGAGAUCCGGAAGAACACCGGGGGCGAAGGCGGCCUGCUGGCGUACGGCUGACGCUGAGGCGCGACAGUGGGGGGAGCAAACAGGAUGAGAUACCCUGGGAGUCCACGCCGUAAACGAUGGGCACUAGGGGCGUGGGGGAGCGACCCCCUGCGUGCCGGCGCUAACGCAUGAAGUGCCCCGCCGGGGGAGUACGGCCGCAAGGUGGAAACGCAAAGGAAUGGACGGGGGCCCGCACAAGCGGGGGAGCAGGGGGGGGAAUUCGACGCAACGCAAGAACCUUACCUGGGCUUGACAUCGCCGANACGGCCCUGGGAAAGGGGGGCUGCCCUGCGGGGCUCGGGGACAGGGGCUGCAUGG